CGUCAUUGCACCCCUCAAGCUCUGCUUGGUAUUGGGUUCGUCCCCCGGACGUCCCUGUAAUUUCGUGGCGGUCCGGUGCGACUUCAAGCGUAGCAAGAUUUUACAUCCCGCUUUGGAAGCUCGCGGCUGCGAUCCGGCCAAACAAAUCCAAUUUUUCAAUGAUUGACCUCGGAUCAGGUAGGGAUACCCGCUGAACUUAA
This 200-nucleotide unclassified non-coding RNA is filed under the name soil metagenome. RNAcentral's name for it is "partial contains internal transcribed spacer 2 and large subunit ribosomal RNA". The record is from RNAcentral.